Molecule: ribosomal RNA, 402 nt
Filed under: Bacteroidota bacterium
Lineage: Bacteria; Pseudomonadati; Bacteroidota
Description: Bacteroidetes bacterium partial 16S ribosomal RNA
Rfam family: Bacterial small subunit ribosomal RNA
Source: RNAcentral
UGGGGAAUUUUGCACAAUGGGGGAAACCCUGAUGCAGCGACGCCGCGUGAUUUAGAAGGCCUUCGGGUUGUAAGAAUCUUUUCUAUGGGAAGAAAAUGACAGUACCAUAGGAAUAAGGACCGGCUAAUUACGUGCCAGCAGCCGCGGUAAUACGUAAGGUCCGAGCGUUGUCCGGAAUCAUUGGGCGUAAAGGGUACGUAGGCGGGUAAGCAAGUUAGAAGUGAAAUCCUGUAGCUCAACUACAGUAAGCUUUUAAAACUGCUCAUCUUGAGAUAUGGAAGGGAAAGUGGAAUUCCUAGUGUAGCGGUGAAAUGCGCAGAUAUUAGGAGGAAUACCGGUGGCGAAGGCGACUUUCUGGCCAUAAUCUGACGCUGAGGUACGAAAGCGUGGGUAGCAAACAGG